This 1371-nucleotide long non-coding RNA is filed under the name Heterocephalus glaber (naked mole-rat). RNAcentral describes it as "lncRNA (ENSHGLG00000031896.1)". The record is from RNAcentral. Lineage: Eukaryota; Metazoa; Chordata; Mammalia; Rodentia; Bathyergidae.
GCUGGCUCCAUUGCUGUGGGCCUGAGGACAGGCAGAGCAUCAUGCUGAAAGAGUGUGGUGGAGGAAAGCUGAUCACCUCAUGGCCUCCAGGAAGCAGAGAGAGGGGAAGGAGCCAGGGAAGAAGGGGCCGGGGACCAGAUGGAGUCCUGUGGCUAAUGCUUCCACACUUCACUUUCUUCCACUAGGCCCCACAUCCGAAGUUUCUGUCUUUCCUAGUAAUGCCAUCAAAUCAUGAUCUCAUCAAUAGGUUAAUCCACCCAUGAAUUCAGAGCCUUGGGAAUCCAGUAUCCUUCCAAAAGCCCCACCUCUGAGCACAGGAGCCACCUGAGGCAACAUUUCAGAUCUAAACCUCGACAGCCCCAUGCCAGCACAGUACCACAAGAAACUGUUUUGCCUGAUUAUAGAUGAGUGAAUGACCCCAGACUGUAAUUAGAUGUGAGGAAUUCAGCUUCUUUUGAAUAUCGUCCAAAUAAAUAAUGGAAAUUCUUUGUUCCUUAUGUUAUGCAGGACUUACUGUGGGCUGGAUCGGUGCCUAAUGCUCAAGGCCACAGGUUGAUGCCAUCGCAAUCCCUCAAUUGGAGGCUGGUUUCUCCCAUUGACCCCAGACCCUUCGUAGGCAGGAAUACACCCAUUGUCCUUGUGUCAUCUCUACCUGGCAGGUGCACCCACCGCUACUCAUGGCUGCGUCAAAGCAUGCUUGGUGUGCUCUGCAGACUACGGUAAACUACUUUAUCCUCACAACAUAGGCUCAGCUUGAGGGCACCUCAGCAUGCCUCCAGCUUACUGGAAAGACUGCCUUAAACAUUUCCAGCCAAACCAUGACAAUAUCAAUGGGACUUACAGGAGAACAAAUGAGGUUUCAGUAAUGCCCCUCUGCCACAGCACCCUGGCUCGGAGCCACCCCACUGCAGACUGAAACCUCUACAAACUGUGAGCCAAAAUAUACCUUUUCUUUUUUACUUGUAGAAGUUGGGUAUUUUGUCCCAGCAAUGUGAAAAUAACUGAAACAAUUAGGUAUCCCAAGAUGGGUGCCAGGCACAUCUGUUAGCUGGGAUUUCUGAGAUAAUUUAAUGAUGGGAUUGUUUUCGAGGUGAGGGCAGGAUUGUGGCAACCACAGUGGGCUGUUGAGGCACCGAAGGUAAAUACAGCAGGUACUGUCACCAGCUUUAGUCUGGAAAAACCCCAAGGAAAUAAUGAAAGUCACCAGGGCCAAGUCAGAGCUGUAACCGUGAAAGAGGCUGCCUGCCUGUCUGGAGUUGGAGUUUCAGAGGGAAGGAAUCUGGCCUGGGGCACAAAGGCAGGGUGCAGUAAGGUAGGAAAUCCCCACAUCUCUCUCUGGCAGGCAGAAUAAUGUUCCUCCAACCAUGCCCA